UACAGAGGGGGUGGGGGUCCUGUUAUGAAUUAUUGAUAUAUUCGGUUAUCAGUUGUUCCUAAAUUUUAAGAGGUUUGUUUUGCGUUUCCUCUUUCUUUUUUUUUCUUUUCACUUUUUCAUCUCCUUUAUACAUUCCUAUGGACGGCUCUUGCUAGGCUUUUUUUUUUCUUUUCUUAUACGUUUGGCAUCUCCGUGUUUAAAUACUACAGCAUCUUUUUAAUUUCAGCUUAAAUUUUUUUUUCUUUUUCCCCUCUAAAUUGAGGAUGAGCUUGUAUGGAAUAAUGAAUCUCAUUUUUCUCAGCUUCCUCUAUUUCUUCUCUAUUUGUUUCAUUUAUCCCGGCUUUCCAAUAUGCCGAUAUGGCUUUUACAACAAUAAAAACAUCACGUUUUGUUUGAAACCCUACCUUCUAGGUGUUAACGCGACAUAAUUUUAGGGUUAGGGUUAGGCAUCAACCGAUCUAUUAUUUAAUUACUGUACUCUCUUACAAGCUACGAUUAUGCACAUAAAAGAGGACAGAGAUGGAUGAGGAUUCCGGGGGAAAAGAUUAAAUUAAAUUAAAUUAAAUUAAGAACAUGCAAACGCACACGCACACACAAGGCCGUUAGUUCUUGCUCUGGGAUGAAAUAGUGUCAUUGGCAAUUAAUCAUUAAUUACUUUGGGUUGUUUGGUUCGAAUCUAACAUUUGGAAAGCAAGGAAUAGGAACUGCAAACAACGGUAUAGAGCGUAAUCUAUGAUGAUAUAGAAAUGUGAAUCCCAAACACACACACAUGGGCCCUUGGAAACAGUAUUUGCUGGACAUCAGGAAAAAAGAGACGAAAAAAAACGAAAUAAAAGAUAGAAAGA
Molecule: small RNA, 845 nt
Filed under: Histoplasma capsulatum
Lineage: Eukaryota; Fungi; Ascomycota; Eurotiomycetes; Onygenales; Ajellomycetaceae
Also listed under: 1 other name
Description: hypothetical RNA
Source: RNAcentral